GUAAUAGAAUAGGUGACUCAAGGGUGGUCGGCAUACAUCCCCAAAAGAAAGGGGGUGGUGCUGAUGACAGUAUUCGAAGCAUUGAUGUUUGCAGUCGCAUUCGCAACAUUGAUCAGAGGCAUACUGUCGUUUAACCAAAAAAAAUAAUCCACCCUUGAGUUAGAGGCUCAGGUGGAUUAUCCCGAUUUUGCCGAUCCCCCUUGAAGGGAACCGUUCUAUUACUCGACCGUAGAUGUUACAGCAUCUGCG
RNAcentral lists this small RNA (249 nucleotides) under Thalassobacillus cyri. RNAcentral's name for it is "BsrG". It matches the Rfam family "BsrG". From Rfam's summary of the family: bsrE, bsrG and bsrH pair through intermolecular interactions with antisense sRNAs. SR4 interaction with the 3'UTR of bsrG RNA promotes bsrG degradation and inhibits its translation. Lineage: Bacteria; Bacillati; Bacillota; Bacilli; Caryophanales; Bacillaceae. The record is from Rfam by way of RNAcentral.